RNAcentral lists this ribosomal RNA (411 nucleotides) under uncultured Gammaproteobacteria bacterium. RNAcentral describes it as "bacterial SSU rRNA". It matches the Rfam family "Bacterial small subunit ribosomal RNA", at positions 114 to 520 of the family's 1533-position model. The record is from RNAcentral. Lineage: Bacteria; Pseudomonadati; Pseudomonadota; Gammaproteobacteria.
CGCGUAGGAAUCUGCCUAUUAGUGGGGGACAACAUGUGGAAACGCAUGCUAAUACCGCAUACGCCCUACGGGGGAAAGCGGGGGCUCUUCGGACCUCGCGCUAAUAGAUGAGCCUAUGUCAGAUUAGCUAGUUGGUAGGGUAAAAGCCUACCAAGGCAACGAUCUGUAGCUGGUCUGAGAGGAUGAUCAGCCACACUGGGACUGAGACACGGCCCAGACUCCUACGGGAGGCAGCAGUGGGGAAUAUUGGACAAUGGGCGCAAGCCUGAUCCAGCAAUACCGCGUGUGUGAAGAAGGCCUGAGGGUUGUAAAGCACUUUCAAUAGGGAGGAACACCUGUUUAUCUAAUAUCGGACAGACUGACAUUACCUAUAGAAGAAGCACCGGCUAACUCCGUGCCCAGCAGCCGCGG